Molecule: ribosomal RNA, 301 nt
Filed under: uncultured bacterium
Lineage: Bacteria
Description: partial 16S ribosomal RNA
Rfam family: Bacterial small subunit ribosomal RNA
Source: RNAcentral
CAGCCGCCACGGUAAUACGUAGGUGGCAAGCGUUGUCCGGAAUUAUUGGGCGUAAAGGGCUCGCAGGCGGUUUCUUAAGUCUGAUGUGAAAGCCCCCGGCUCAACCGGGGAGGGUCAUUGGAAACUGGGAAACUUGAGUGCAGAAGAGGAGAGUGGAAUUCCACGUGUAGCGGUGAAAUGCGUAGAUAUCAGUCGGAACACCCAUGGCGAAGGCAGCUGCCUGGCCUAAUACUGACGCUGAGGUGCGAAAGCGUGGGGAGCGAACGGGAUUAGAUACCCCUGUAGUCCCUGUCUCUUAUAC